RNAcentral lists this ribosomal RNA (395 nucleotides) under uncultured bacterium. RNAcentral's name for it is "partial 16S ribosomal RNA". It matches the Rfam family "Bacterial small subunit ribosomal RNA", at positions 523 to 918 of the family's 1533-position model. The record is from RNAcentral.
AUACGUAGGGUGCAAGCGUUAAUCGGAAUUACUGGGCGUAAAGCGUGCGCAGGCGGUUUUGUAAGACAGAGGUGAAAUCCCCGGGCUCAAACUGGGAACUGCCUUUGUGACUGCAAGGCUAGAGUACGGCAGAGGGGGAUGGAAUUCCGCGUGGAGCAGUGAAAUGCGUAGAUAUGCGGAGGAACACCGAUGGCGAAGGCAAUCCCCUGGGCCUGUACUGACGCUCAUGCACGAAAGCGUGGGGAGCAAACAGAAUUAGAUACCCUGGUAGUCCACGCCCUAAACGAUGUCAACUGGUUGUUGGGUCUUCAUUGACUCAGUAACGAAGCUAACGCGUGAAGUUGACCGCCUAGGGAGUACGGCCGCAAGGUUGAAACUCAAAUGAAUUGACGGGG